AUCAGCAGCCGUAUCACCCUGCAACCCUCUGAAGCCCAGCAGGUGUGAGCCUGGCCAGUGCCUGGAUGGGAGACCUCCUGGGAAAAACUAAGGCUGCUGCUGGAA
Molecule: ribosomal RNA, 105 nt
Filed under: Lepisosteus oculatus (spotted gar)
Lineage: Eukaryota; Metazoa; Chordata; Actinopteri; Semionotiformes; Lepisosteidae
Source: RNAcentral